CUAAGAUACAAACUGAUUGAAAUAACGAUGGAAUAAGCGAUGAAACAGAUAAACAUAAAUGGCGGUAAAAGGUUCCAUUGUAUCGUGAAAGGUAGUGUAGCGGCACAUGAGUAGAGGACAAUUCAAAUCAUGUUGUUGUUUUGCCUCGGACUAUCAAGAUCGUUAGGAUACAUGUAAUGUAAGAAUAAAUAAAUUCCGAGCAAAAGAAUGUCGCCGCUACGAGCAACCGUCGAACGAAGACGAAUUUGAAUUUUCCGGCUGUCCCCGACCAGUAUAAAUAAACGGACGAAACCGAAAAGAGUUCAGUAUCGACGAGUUAUCUGUGAGUUAUCAAGAGUUAUCUACCGAAUUAUCGACGAGUAUCUAGCGAGUAUUUAUCAGCGAUCUUACUUUGCGACUUAUACACUGUACGAGCGUCCCAGCGAAUAUGGUCUGUAUACUAAUUUAUUAUUUUUAAAUAUAUUCGACGGUUUCAACAACGAACAAUAACAUUUAAUAAAUGUAAUAAAAGGUUCUAUUGUUCAAAAGAUUUUUAACAAAGUACAUGCCCAAGGAAAUGAAUAUUUUCGUGCAAUUACAAGUAUUACACCGAGCUGAAACUCGCUUCUGUUAGAAAUGACUAUCGACCUUCGCAUCCCUCUAAACUCUAAAUCGUCCCCUCGAACAAAGGUCUGCCCAACAAACGCAAAGGGUACAUAAAGCAAUCAAAAAUUAGCCUUACAUAACGAUUCAUAAUGGUGUUUCGCGGUCGAAGAGAACAUUGAUUCAACAAGUUUACGCGCCAAUAAAUCUGAGAAAUUAACGAACCGGCGCGGCGGCAUCGUGCGCGCACGCUUAGUGACAAACUUUACGACAACUUUUAUUGUCUAGUCGGUCUUAACUGCUAUUCCCUGGCUAUUCGUGUACAACUCUACCAUAACGAGAGGUUCGUUCGGAAGGAGGCCUCACCUCCCGGACGAAAUAAACGUCCGUUCAAGACGAGAGGAAUAGUUGGUCCACGAGGUUCAGUCUUUCUCUUCGUAGGUCCUCCUCGCCGUUUAUCGUCGUCCGGCGAAGCUGCUAGAAGUCCUUCACGCACUCUGCACCACUGGUUAUGCGAAGUUAACAGAGACAACUUAAUCGUAAAUCAAACGCGUUAUUGUUGUUAUAUUCCAAAGCGAACUACCAACGUUAUUGGCUGAUGGCUUGAGAUAUUCUUUGGUGGAGGAGAUAAGAAAUUAUUUUUUCCUCUACGCUGAUUAUUUAUUUUUGAAUUAACGCAACCUUGCGCGUUACUUUCGCUUUCGAUGCAAUUUAUUGGUCGCUGGCUUUAUCAAUGCGAUAAGACUGGAAUAGUUGCAAUCAUCGAAUUCAACACGAAUACAAAGAGUUGACGCGACAGUAACUGGAAUACAAGUUGGGAAAAUAAGCGAAUAAAUUUUCUGCAAUAUUUUUGCUCCAGAGUUUCUUUUGUUUUCGAUGCAAUUUAUUGGUUAGAAGCUUUAACAAUCCAAUAAGAUGCUGCAACCACAAUACAUAGGCGUUACCAUGCUUUUCGAAUGCAAGAAGAACGCAAAAGUGGUUCUUCUGGACGUUAAUAACUCGUUAUAAAUAUCGUAAUGGUUGCCACCUUGCAUGCAUGUAUAUGUACACGGAGAAAGCAUUUAUUAAUCUUCUAGGCGGAGCAUCAAGAUGCAAUCUUGAAUGAUUAUUAUACGAAACGACUUAUUGUUCCGGAUCAGCUGUUGAAAAAAUACGCAUCCAUCGAAAGAGUAUCAAUUUCUUCUAAACGCUGCACUUGACCCUAUUUGAUCGAACGAACUGGAAAAUUGCCAGUUCGGAAUAUGAAGUUUUAAAUGAAGAAUCAUAAUUAGAAGAACGGUCUGCUAUGUGCUUAUACAAAUCUCAACAAUUUCCCGAUUCCACCAACCACAGCGGUUAUUAGUAUUCAUGAUUCUAGGUGUGGAAGCUAACAAACGGACGAAGAUUAUUACUUUUCAGAUUCUCGACCGUUACCCAGGAUAUUUAAGAUCGAUUAUUUUUAGAAUUGCAGAAGAUGACUAUGAUACGCUAGAACUUCCUUUUCGUUAGUGCAAAUAUUUUCCCGUACGUUGCUAUACUUAUAAAAUGGGUAAUUUUUUACUUUUAUUUCUAGUACAUGGAAAUUUUCAAUUCUUAAUUGCUCCGUGGAUUCUUUCAUAAAGGAAUGUUCUCGUGUCAAGCGGUUGAAAGAGAUAUGUUCUUAAUUUUCUAUAUUUGAUUUCAAUAACAAAUGAAUAAGAAAAUUUGAAUAAUUUCAAGAAAGCGAUGUAUCAUUUGGACAAGAUAAAAUUUCCAUGUGGAUUAUAUCGACGUUUAUGUGAAUUCUAAUUAUAUUUCAUUCUCAUAUUUCGGAUGGAUGGAAUAAUAUAAAUCGUAGGAGACUAUCAAACUGUCACACUGUGAAAAACAUGUAAUAAUUUAAAUAGUACUAAAGAUAGUUGUAUUUUCUCGAGAUCGCUCAAAAAAUAACAUCUUGAAAUGCCGCCUUAAGGGAGCUUCCGGCGAAACACAAAAAUUUCUAGAACGCUGAAAACGAGCGAUCGAGAAAGCGACAGGGCAGCAGCCAGUUUCUUGUACUACUGCUCAGAAAUGACUGAGGUAACGAACGGUCGGCAGUCUAAUUACUUAAGCGAAGUAGUCUCGUUGUCAGUGGCAGGAAAGAGGCAUUCAGGAACCCACUUCUCGCUCUCUCGACCCUCGUUCCGCUUCUCGACUUCUCUCUGUCUCGCACCAUUGCACGCUUUCCAUUUAAGGAACAACCUCCCCCUCUUCUCAACAGCUGUAGGCGUUUCGAGGGGUAAAACCAAUAACGCUAAGACGUCCUCGAGAGAGUGAGUACAUCCCCGAAAGUACCUCGCAUACCGAGGACGUGCGGCCGCGAACGAACACUAAUUUCCUCUCGACCUAUCCUUGAGUUAGACGUCAGCUACCGACCUGGCUGCGCCUCGCUCUCCUCGUCGCGUCGUUUCUCUUCAACGCUGCCGUCCUUGAUUAACGCCGCGAGUCAUUGUCAGUUCUCGUCACCUGUCGUCGUUGUCGUGUUUCCAGCGGAACGACAGUUUAUCUUGCGACGACGAUUCCCUUUUUUAGGGAAAAUGAGAGUUAUUGAAUCGUUUGUAAGGGAAUAAUAUGAUAGUUUAUAUUGCUGGAAUAUUUUCAUUAUAAUUGUUGAUAGAGUUAAAUAACCGGCAGCAGAAAGAGAUGCGCUACUGAGCAAAUUUUUACAAAAAUAUAACAUAAUUUUAAAAAAAUUGAAUUACUAGAAAAAUUUAAGACAGCUUAAAGAUAAAAUAAGAUAAGAUAUAGACGUUUUUUGAAUUGCAGGUCGAAUGAGGGUAGUAUGAUAGGAUAAGGGAAAAUUAGUCACUGUAUGACAAUCCGUUACAAUUAAUUUUCAUUACACAUUCACUUGUACAUAAGAUUAUUUUAAGUUUUACAAUUUUUAAUUUAGCAUUGCGUGGUACGCAAUUUCAAUCUACUAGCGUGCUUUUACUAUUACAAAACGGAACUGUUCCUCGAUAAACAAUUCAAUCUAAGAAUUUAUGAAUUGAAGGACAAGUGAGCAUCGUACAAAUCUUGCCUCUGUGUCACCUGAUAGUCAUCUUUCCAAUUACUCAUGCUACAAGAAAUAGCCAUUGAACUUUGUUUCACUUAUUACACCUGUGUCGAAGAAAAAUAUACUAACGGAUAAAAUGGAUUAUAAUAUAAAUCACAGAAGAAACAAGAUAAGGUUCGUAGGGACGCGUCUUCAACUAUUCGCUUCUUGCUCAGAAUUUUACCGAUGUAAUUCAAUUGACGGAAAAACUCGUCGGAUCGAGAACAAUUAAACCGCUUCAUCAUUGUCCUGUCAUCCAGGCGACGAAGCCGAGAGCGUUUUGUCGCUGAAGGACGACUAGUCGUUUCGUACCAUCAUCCACUCGAUUCCAUCCUCGAAACGCAGCUACACCAAUACAUAUAUCCCUCUGUGUCUCGCCCCUUCUGCCUCUCGCAGAAAGAACAGAGUUUCCCCUGAACCAGCGUUCAGCCUUUGCGUAACAAAUCGUAGAAACCGUCGGGUUCGUUCUCUUUCAGUUUUGCUGGUUGGCUCGCCGGUCACGUUGCUUUUAAUUGUAGCUGGUAUCGGCGGUGAGCCAGUCGAGAGACGAGAGGGGCCUGGCCUACGCUUCGAAUUGGUUUGGAGGCAAUCGAUGGAUUGUCACGGGAUUCCGGAGAUUGGCGGAAAAAGUGGGAGAAAGAUGGAACUUGUAAAUAGUUCGUCUUGCAUCGACAACCUCUGCUGAUGAAUUUAGCGAAAUCAUCUUCUCUCCGUGUGACUAAAAACGAUCGAUUCGCUGGAUCAUUCGGCCAUCUCACCGUGAUUCAAACAUAUAUCCUAAUGUUCUUGCAAAGGGAGUGCCACGUUUUUGUCAAGGGUUUAUGCUCUUGGUCGAUCAAGGGAAGAAAAAGAAGGUACCAGCUUGAGAAACGCCCCUCGCGUUUCUUUCGUGUCAUUCGAGGAUAUUUGCAGAGGCCGUCGCAUGGUCGGCCGUAUUGGAAACAUUACUGAACGUCUUUGAGAGUUUACGAGUUAGAUACUCGAUGUAGGGAUCGUACCAAGAAAGGAGACCGUUUCCAACGGAUUCUUAGAAGCGAGCGUAAGAGGAACGCCGCGCCGGGAUCAAGUCCUCAUAAAUUUAUCGAUCGUUCUUGCAAAACCCCGCAGAGAGCGGCGUGAACCGAUGAGGACAGCGUCUCAAGACUUUUUCCCAUUCCCAAGGUGAAUAGAAAGUAAUCAACUAUCUCGCGUGAAACGAAAUUCGUGAAAUGUUACUUAAACAAUACUUAAACUCUAUUUGUCGUCGCUCUGUCUCAUCGACUCAUUUUCAUAAUUCCAUCGUUUGUAUAGGGAGAAAGUUUGCGAUCUGAAGCUCUAUCACAUUUAAACGAUGUCUAAAGUCUAUCUCUUGCUCUUUUCAUCUAAAGGCUCAUUUUCGUCAUUCCAUCGGUUCUGUAGAGGAAAAGCUUGCAAUUUGAAAUUCUACCAGUGUACAACGCUGGGAUCAUAAAGCAUGGCUUGAUAAUUACGAGUCUUGGACACGAUCGACUCGCACGAUUGACGUCGAGUCUCUCUCGAUUGCGAUCAAGCCAACGAUCGACGAGGGCUGCGCGAGGUAAGUCGUACCACUAUGAAUCGCGCGGUGCCGCGUACGUGCAAUGAUCCGACUCGUUCUUAAAGCGCCACUAAACUUGCGCGUCACGUUCCUUUUAAUUACGUCUGCCAACGACGACGGAUGCGAAACGGCCGCAGAGGGAGGGACGCAAAGAAUUCAUUAAACGAUACUCUCUGGAACAACCGAGAGCUAUACCAGAACCGAAGUGGGACAGGUGCUGGAUCAUACCUCGAGAAACCGCGAGCUCAACCACGUCUACGACACCACCGAUCUAAAAAGGCAGUUACGUAUUUUUGCAAUCGCGCAGGUGUCUGUUCUGUUGAUGAAACGAAGUUGGGAAGCCAGAUCGGUGGUUGCAAUAAAGUUGGUUUAUUUAAGCUUGUAACAAAUUGAAGAAGGAAGAGAAACCAUUAUUUUUGGAUAAAGGAAUUUUAUAUGAUCCAACGGUGAUUUGUCCGAAUUUGUUUGAAUUUAUAUGAAAGGCUUUUUUCGAAAAGGAGAAAAUUAUUUUUAAGUAUUUUAAAUCACUGAUCUAAUAGUUGGAAAAAUUGACUUCGAUUUAACAGAGUACAUAUGUCUGAAUAUCGUUUGGAUAGAUAAUUUGUGGUACACUUUACGAAAUAUGUUAACUACUAGUUGGCAAACCAUACUAAAUCAUAAUCGAAAUGUGUGCAUUUAUUAAUUAAAACUUCACUUUUCUUGCUUCUGAAUACAUUCACAUACGCGUGAAAUCUGUCAAAUAUCUACAUAUAUUAUCUAGAAAAUAAAUUUAUUGAAUUAAUACAUUUACUGUAACAUAUCAAAGAAAGGCCAAUGCACUGUAAUAUUUCAUUUUUCCAAAUUUUUUUAAUGCAAAUACGUUAGAGUUAAAUUGCAAUUAAAUCAUUCUGAAAUAUCUACGUGGAGAGGGUCGAGAAAAUCUGACUGGUUCCACAACAACCUUGUAUUGCAGUCGAGUGCUUAAAUACCAGCGGAAGGUAACGCGUUACUCUGGCUAUAGCAGAAAUCAAUUAAGAAGUCGGAAAAUUUAUCACGGGUCUACAAGACCGGCUACAGGAACAGUUUCUCAAUACUGGCUAACGUUCGUGCCGUCCCGCGGCUUGUCGCGAUCACCACUUGCAAUUAUCAAUUCUAAUUAACGAUCGUCGCGUCCAGAGUUUCAUUAUUGUUUUUAAUUACCAGUCCUACCGGUCGUUUCUCUAAAUCACCAUUAAUGAAACUAUCUAGCGGCCUGUCACUAGCAAACGGAUUUUUCUACGGAAUCAGCCCCAGAGGCUCGUGAAUCGUGACGCUAUUAAGGGAAACGAUCGUCCUCGAUUUUUCCCGUCAGGACUCAUGCGAUCAGUUUUAUAGCGAUUUCAUAGCAUUUUCACGUCCUCGUGCCAAUUUCAUAGUAUUUUCAUAACAAUUACAGAGCCAUGCACACGACGAAAUCGCGAUCAUUUUACAAUGCCAUAGAAUCGAUAGUAAUUUGUCAUGUAGAAUUUAAUCUUAAUGUUAAGAAAAUUAAUCUGUGGAAGACACAAUGUUUAUGUUGAAAUAAUAUUAGGUGAUAUUUAUUAAACAGAAUUACAGAAUCAAAUGUAUUUAAAAUAUAAGUGAGUGAUAUGGUAUAAUUAACAAAGUAUACGGGUAAAGAAUUUAUGGAUUGUUGACAGUUGACCAGUUACUCUCAGACUGGCUGUAGGUAGUGACCCAUGGUCCCUUAAAGAUUUUGAACCCCACUCUCUAUACAGUAGUGAGUAUGACCUGUGUAAGUGUCCUGCUCAAAUGUCUGUGUAGAUAUCUGUAUAAGAUUAUUUGUGUCUAUGUGUGUAAUAUCAUUGUAUUCCAACAUGAAUAAUAAUCAGAGAUUGAUUUGGUUUUGUUUAAGAGUUACAUUGCAAGACUUAUUUGUAAAUAGUUUAUUUUAGGCAACGCAAGAAUAGGCAAAUAAGAGAAUAAAAUAAUGCAAAUUAUAAUCAAAAAGUCGACGGAAUUUUUCUUAAAAAUCACAUCGAUACGGUCAGUUGUGCGUAAGAACCACAUCUUUCAAUUUUUAUCCACCGCUGUUACGUUCACUCGCACAUACUUCCCUAUAUAAUUCAGUAUAACGCGUGUAAAAAUUCACUCGCUUACAUCAAACAUUAAAUUUUUAAGUCUUCGAGUCAAGUAUAGUCCUAAAUCAAUCUCAACAAAUUUACUAUCGAUAAUCAUUCGUGUUCAUCGCUAAAGGAGAAUAAACCCGCGGCUAUGAAAUAGCG
Bombus terrestris (buff-tailed bumblebee) is the source of this 7414-nucleotide long non-coding RNA. RefSeq lists it as uncharacterized. Lineage: Eukaryota; Metazoa; Arthropoda; Insecta; Hymenoptera; Apidae. The transcript has 5 exons. The record is from RefSeq and is a predicted model, not a curated record.